UAGUCCACACCGUAAACGAUGAAUGCUAGUCGUUGGGAGGCAUGCCUUUCAGUGACGCAGCUAACGCAAUAAGCAUUCCGCCUGGGGAGUACGGUCGCAAGAUUAAAACUCAAAGGAAUUGACGGGGGGCCCGCACAAGCGGUGGAGCAUGUGGUUUAAUUCGAAGCAACGCGCAGAACCUUACCACUCUUUGACAUCCUGAUCGCGAUUUGUGGAGACACAUUUCUUCAGUUCGGCUGGAUCAGUGACAGGUGCUGCAUGGCUGUCGUCAGCUCGUGUUGUGAGAUGUUGGGUUAAGUCCCGNAACGAGCGCAACCCUCACCAAUAGUUGCCAGCAUUUAGUUGGGCACUCUAUUGGAACUGCCGGUGAUAAACCGGGAGGAAGGGUGGGGGAU
Molecule: ribosomal RNA, 395 nt
Filed under: uncultured bacterium
Lineage: Bacteria
Description: bacterial SSU rRNA
Rfam family: Bacterial small subunit ribosomal RNA
Source: RNAcentral